CCUACGGGUGGCAGCAGUGAGGAAUCUUGGUCAAUGGGCGCGAGCCUGAACCAGCCAAGUAGCGUGAAGGAUGAAUGCCCUACGGGUUGUAAACUUCUUUUAUAAAGGAAUAAAGUGAGGCUCGUGUGCCUUUUUGUAUGUCCUUUAUGAAUAAGGAUCGGCUAACUCCGGUCCAGCAGCCGCGGUAAUACGGAGGAUCCGAGCGUGAUCCGGAUUAAUUGGGUUGAAAGGGAGCGUAGAUGGGUUGGUAAGGCAGUUGUGAAAGUUUGCGGCUCAACCGUAAAAUUGCAAUUGAUAAUGGCAGUCUUGAGUACAGUAGAGGUAGGCGGAAUUCGUGGUGUAGCGGGGAAAUGCUUAGAUAUCACGAAGAACGCCGAUUGCGAAGGCAGCUUACUAAACUGCCACUGACAUUGAUGCUCGAAAGUGUGGGUAUCAAACAGGAUUAGAUACCCGAGUAGUC
Molecule: ribosomal RNA, 460 nt
Filed under: uncultured bacterium
Lineage: Bacteria
Description: partial 16S ribosomal RNA
Rfam family: Bacterial small subunit ribosomal RNA
Source: RNAcentral